UCUACAACGAUUUUAGCGACGUUUUUUUAAACUAACAAAACGUAUACAAUUUCAAACCAUACACGUACGACCUUCACUGAUACUCGACUGCUACGACUGUAUAUUACCUACGGACUAACCGACAACACUAACGAGCAAUAUAGAAUAAACACUCGAACAACUAAUCGGUUUUGACUACCUCUGAUCUGAAGUAUGGUUCUAAGGCAGGGGUGGCUAAACGGUCGAUCGGGAUCCACCGGUAGAUCACGGACG
Molecule: non-coding RNA, 252 nt
Organism: Cinara cedri
Lineage: Eukaryota; Metazoa; Arthropoda; Insecta; Hemiptera; Aphididae
Source: the annotation of a GenBank genome assembly